UUACGAUCGGAAUACGUGAAAAUGUUUUUUUAUCGCAAAGUUGGGUAUUUACACUUGGCGUCGUUGUACCGCUUUUACAUAAUUUAGUUAUGAGACAUUUAUUAUGUAAUUUAUCGAGACACGCUUGAGAGAGGCUGGUUACGUAACUUCCUACAUGAGGCUUUACCGCGUGAAUUACCGUGCUGAAGUGCUUCGAGAUAUUCUAACGCCUCGAAUCGAAGGUUGUGAAUUUAAUCUGGAUUAUUUUUUUUUACGAUUUUUCAUCUUGUUCACAUGUUUUAAUCGAAAUAUUUAUUAUAUUUAUACCAUGGACAACGUCAGUGUAGUAUUUGUUGUUUAUUUUGGAAUGCAGAAUUGCUGGGUGAUGUCAGCCAUGUUGCUACAUAAAUCAUGACAUGAAGUGAUCGUUACCAAGCUCUCUUCCAAGGAUCAGCGGCGAGUUUAUGUAUGUUAAUGGAGGAAAUGGAUGGAACACCUUAAAUAUAAAGGCUAAGUUCCCAGCUCCAUUAUCGUAACCUCUGGAGAACACGACUAUACAAUUACGAUAUUAAUAUUUAUUUUCCUAUUGUUCGACCGUUUGCAAUAAUUUCAUGUUUUCUACUUCGUAUCUUUUUGCAUCUUAUGUUUUAUAUUUUAUUUAUUUUCUUUUUUUUUUAUUUAUUUUCCUUUUGUAAUAUUAAAGAUUUUAUAAACUAAUAUAAA
Long non-coding RNA from Apis dorsata (giant honeybee), 702 nucleotides. RefSeq lists it as uncharacterized. The transcript is spliced from 3 exons. NCBI's taxonomy places the organism in Eukaryota, Metazoa, Arthropoda, Insecta, Hymenoptera, Apidae. The record is from RefSeq and is a predicted model, not a curated record.